CCACGAGUUCCGUGCCGCAGCUAACGCAUUAAGCGCCCCGCCUGGGGAGUACGGCCGCAAGGCUAAAACUCAAAGGAAUUGACGGGGGCCCGCACAAGCGGCGGAGCAUGUUGCUUAAUUCGAUGCAACGCGAAGAACCUUACCUAGGCUUGACAUGCACGGAAAUCCUCCAGAGAUGGGGGGUCCGUAAGGGCCGUGCACAGGUGGUGCAUGGUUGUCGUCAGCUCGUGUCGUGAGAUGUUGGGUUAAGUCCCGCAACGAGCGCAACCCUCGUUCCAUGUUGCCAGCACGUAAUGGUGGGGACUCAUGGGAGACUGCCGGGGUCAACUCGGAGGAAGGUGGGGAUGACGUCAAGUCAUCAUGCCCCUUAUGUCUAGGGCUGCAAACAUGCUACAAUGGCCGGUACAAAGGGCUGCGAUACCGCGAGGUGGAGCGAAUCCCAAAAAGCCGGUCUCAGUUCGGAUUGGGGUCUGCAACUCGACCCCAUGAAGUUGGAGUCGCUAGUAAUCGCAGAUCAGCAACGCUGCGGUGAAUACGUUCCCGGGCCUUGUACACACCGCCCGUCACGUCACGAAAGUCGGUAACGCCCGAAGCCGGUG
This 599-nucleotide ribosomal RNA is filed under the name uncultured bacterium. RNAcentral's name for it is "bacterial SSU rRNA". It matches the Rfam family "Bacterial small subunit ribosomal RNA", at positions 832 to 1432 of the family's 1533-position model. The record is from RNAcentral.